RNAcentral lists this ribosomal RNA (449 nucleotides) under uncultured bacterium. RNAcentral describes it as "partial 16S ribosomal RNA". It matches the Rfam family "Bacterial small subunit ribosomal RNA", at positions 29 to 523 of the family's 1533-position model. The record is from RNAcentral.
AACGAACGCUGGCGGCAUGCCUAACACAUGCAAGUCGAACGAAGCCUUCGGGCUUAGUGGCGCACGGGUGCGUAACGCGUGGGAAUCUGCCCUUUGGUUCGGAAUAACAGUUGGAAACGACUGCUAAUACCGGAUGAUGACGAAAGUCCAAAGAUUUAUCGCCAGAGGAUGAGCCCGCGUAGGAUUAGCUAGUUGGUGUGGUAAAGGCUCACCAAGGCGACGAUCCUUAGCUGGUCUGAGAGGAUGAUCAGCCACACUGUUACUGAGACACGGCCCAGGUUCCUACGGGAGGCAGCAGUGGGGAAUAUUGGACAAUGGGCGAAAGCCUGAUCCAGCAAUGCCGCGUGAAUGAUGAAGGCCCUAGGGAUGUAAAGCUCGUUUACCGGGGAUGAUAAUGACAGUACCGGGAGAAUAAGCCCCGGCUAACUCCGUGCCAGACGCCGCAGUAA